Molecule: ribosomal RNA, 468 nt
Filed under: uncultured bacterium
Lineage: Bacteria
Description: partial 16S ribosomal RNA
Rfam family: Bacterial small subunit ribosomal RNA
Source: RNAcentral
GACGAACGCUGGCGGCGUGCUUAACACAUGCAAGUCGAACGGAAAGGCCCUGCUUUUGUGGGGUGCUCGAGUGGCGAACGGGUGAGUAACACGUGAGUAACCUGCCCUUGACUUUGGGAUAACUUCAGGAAACUGGGGCUAAUACCGGAUAGGAGCUCCUGCGCCAUGGGGGGGGUUGGAAAGUUUCGGCGGUUGGGGAUGGACUCGCGGCUUAUCAGCUUGUUGGUGGGGUAGUGGCUUACCAAGGCUUUGACGGGUAGCCGGCCUGAGAGGGUGACCGGCCACAUUGGGACUGAGAUACGGCCCAGACUCCUACGGGAGGCAGCAGUGGGGAAUAUUGCACAAUGGGCGGAAGCCUGAUGCAGCAACGCCGCGUGCGGGAUGACGGCCUUCGGGUUGUAAACCGCUUUCGCCUGUGACGAAGCGUGAGUGACGGUAAUGGGUAAAGAAGCACCGGCUAACUACGUG